GGCUUUCUGCAUGGGGUCGCAGGAAGAGGCACGGAGCUGGAGUGACACUGCGGAGCAAGUUGGACUCAGGGUCCCAAGGCAACUCAGGCUGCUGCAGAGGCUGCAUCCUUGCCCAGGAAAGAAACACUUUGUUGUGAAGUCAACAGCUAAGGAAACCAAAGAAUUCACAUUUGUAGAUGAAGGCAAGCAGGUGAGAGCUGGGCAGGCUCUCAC
Long non-coding RNA from Sciurus carolinensis (gray squirrel), 213 nucleotides. RefSeq lists it as uncharacterized. NCBI's taxonomy places the organism in Eukaryota, Metazoa, Chordata, Mammalia, Rodentia, Sciuridae. The record is from RefSeq and is a predicted model, not a curated record. The transcript is spliced from 3 exons.